RNAcentral lists this long non-coding RNA (675 nucleotides) under Ananas comosus (pineapple). RNAcentral describes it as "long non-coding RNA (ACOM_LNC035668)". The record is from RNAcentral. Lineage: Eukaryota; Viridiplantae; Streptophyta; Magnoliopsida; Poales; Bromeliaceae.
UAUCCUGCGUUCUAUGAGCAAGAUUGCUGUGCUCUCGGGAGCACGGAGGCCUCCGUGCUCCUGAACCGUUUUCAAUGAUGAAAUUUUCGUCGAUAUAUAUAUCCUGCUUUCUAUGAGCAAGACUGUUGUGCUCUCAGGAGCACAGAGGCCUCCGUGCUCCUGAACCGUUUUCAAUGAUGAAAUUUUUGAAUCGACGAUCGACUCCGUUAAACUUGAUCUAGCGUAUUUGAAGUUUCUAUAAAAUAAUUUUUGCAAUUUUUUGAUAUCAUUUACCUAAUAAUCGGAAGGAUUCAAAAUCAAUCAUUUUUAAUGGUUGAUAUCUACCGUUUUCAAGUUUAACGGUGUAGAAGUAUUCAAAUCAGAUGAAAUUUUGAUACAAAAUUCUUUAUACUAUCCACAAUAAGAUCAAUAUUUCUGAUCGAAAAUUUUAGUGCUAUAUCAUCACUUUUUAUAGGAUUUUUAUUUUCAGCCGUUAAAAUUUUUGAUUUUGAAUCCUUUCGAUUGCUAGGUAAAUGAUAUCAAAAAUUCGCAAAAAUUAUUUUCUAGAAACUUCAAAUACGCUAGAUCAAGUCUAACGGAGCCGAUCGUCGAUUCGAAAGUUUCAUCAUCGAAAAUAGCUUAGGAGCAUGAAAAGCACAGCAGUCCUGCUCUCUCUCUCUAUAUAUAAAUGCACUU